GUACGGGCUCCUGGCCCCGCCCCCCCGUCCCGGAGGCGGGGACGGGGUGCAAGGGGAGCAGGAGCAGAUGGGGCAGGGUUAGAAGACCCGGGGACUUGGGGCGGCGGGAGCGGAGACUCUAGAGAGAGCGUGAGAAGAAGCCACAGGCUGCCCGGAUGGAGGAGCGAGGCUGACAGCGCGGUGGCGGCGCCAGGGACCCCGCUGCAGAGAGGCAGCUCUGCUGUCCAGGCCGCCAGCCGGGUCCUGAUGAAGAAUGCAAAUAUAAUGUGGUCUGGAAGGCAAGAUGCUACUGAAUAAAACAAAGCAUAUGUGGAGGUCUGACACAAUGUUUUAGUAUCUUCAACUUGAGAGUGUUGAACAUUUUGUAUUUGUGAGUCAAGCUCUGGGGAAAUAAAGAUGGCUUAUUGAUCUAUGCCCUUGACUUGAAAGUGAGCAAAUCUUAUAUUUUACAUGAUUAGAUAUUUGCUGAGCACCUAGUAUGUUCCAGACACUGACUAGGAGGUGUAUGUGAACUGGUACCAAAAGUUAUGAACAUGUGUAUAAGGCAGUAGAAGAUGCCUGUCAUCUGAGGACAGAACUGCUCAAGAAGUAAAUCUUGUUACCCAGGAAGAUGUACAGAAGCUGUCAUUUGCUUUCUCCUUGCUGGCUGCUGAUCCUAAAGAAGUAGUACAGACACCAUGGACACUCACCUUAAGAUACUGCUACUGAGUUAAGUUAUCAGAGCAACAACACCAACAACAACUACAAUCAGGGGCCAAAGGCCAGAAACCAUGGAUAAGAAAGACCACUCCUCCUGCCCAGUCCUCUUCUGUGCUGCUGGGUUUUCUCUGACAGGAAUGCAUGUAUUUCUUCAAGAGCCCUGUAACCAAGAGCACAGGAGUUUUCUUGGAACCAGAGGCAGAAGGCUUCUGCUCCCUUGUGGCUCAUAUUCUCACUCAGCACCCAAGCAUGUCUUUAUUUGGUGAAGUUCACAGCCUUUCCCUUCCUGCCUCAGCAGCUACUGUCCCAGCCUCAGACCCAGUCACGACAAGUGUGGCUGCUAUGUGGAUCAUGUCUCAGGCAAUUCAGAGAGCCUUUCAGAGAAUAAAGCUUUGGAUUUGACUGUGACUUCUGCUAUGACUCUCUCUUUCUCCUAGAAAACUAUUGUGUUGGAUGAAGCAAGAAGGUGCAAGCUGUAAUGCUGUCAUGAAGGCCAAAGGUUGAGGAAGAAGUUGCCAUUUCUCCUUCCUGUUUACCACUCAAGGCUCUAUCUCCUGAAUCCUUUUUAGAGUUAUUGGUAUCCUGACUUUAUACAUAUACCCUGGUAUUUGAGUACAUAUUACUCGUGCUCACAGCAUUGAUUUAAAGUUAGUGGUUCUACUACCCUCUAGCUCUAUGACUUGGGCAUUCAGUUCUCUGAGCCUCAACUUUCUCCUCUUUAUGAUGGGAGUAGUCAUGUCUGUCUGCUUGGCUGGUCAAAUAAAAUCUCAGCUUCAUAUAUCUGAUACCUUAGGGUCCCCUACCUGAGUAGGAAGCUUGUGUGUUACUUAACACAGCUUUUGCUGCUGAAGAUGACCAUUCCUUCAUCAGCCUCCUGGACAGAUGACCCUCUAGUGUCAGACUGAGCUCUGAAGGAUUGGGAAGCUGCCCUCCUCAGGAGCUCAGAUAGUAAGUUGUUCUUUGUGCUGAUCUCAAACCUGAACCCUCCAGUAACCUUUGCCUGCUGGUUUCUGUGUCAUCUCUGGAUAACAGGGCGUUUAACCUUAAACUCUUCUGUAUCCUGAAGACUACUGUAAAAAGUACCAUUAUUUUUUAAGCUGGCUAUCAAGUAAUCUUUUCAGCUCCUUUGCCUCCUCUGCUCUUGGAGUUCUGAUCUGGAUUGACUGCAUGGAACAGAACAUGGUGCCAGGUGUUCCUGAACAUUCUCAAGGGUCCUUGUAGCAUUGGUAAUAAAACAUUCCCUGAUGACCCUAGAAGCAAGUCUGAUUAUUACUAAUGGUAACUGUCCCCACCCAGAGCGAGUCUGCUCAAAUCCUAGAGCCAUGAUUGGCAAACCAUGUUUCUUAACAUGCUUUAAAUUAUUUUUAACAUGGAAGUAAUUCCCCCUCUAUUGCAUUGCCAUUUCCUUCUCCAGGGGAUCUUCCCUACCCAGGGAUCAAACCCAGGUCUCCUGUAUUGCAUGUGGAUUCUUUACUGCUGAGCUACCAGGGAAGCCAUGCUUUAUUCUAAAAAAUAAUAAAUAUGCAUUAAAUUUAAUAAUAGA
This is a long non-coding RNA of Dama dama (fallow deer), 2242 nucleotides long. RefSeq lists it as uncharacterized. The record is from RefSeq and is a predicted model, not a curated record. The transcript is spliced from 6 exons. NCBI's taxonomy places the organism in Eukaryota, Metazoa, Chordata, Mammalia, Artiodactyla, Cervidae.